Molecule: ribosomal RNA, 826 nt
Filed under: Dechloromonas sp. JDS5
Lineage: Bacteria; Pseudomonadati; Pseudomonadota; Betaproteobacteria; Rhodocyclales; Azonexaceae
Description: bacterial SSU rRNA
Rfam family: Bacterial small subunit ribosomal RNA
Source: RNAcentral
CUCAGAUUGAACGCUGGCGGCAUGCCUUACACAUGCAAGUCGAACGGCAGCGGGGACUUCGGUCCGCCGGCGAGUGGCGAACGGGUGAGUAAUAUAUCGGAACGUACCUUUCAGUGGGGGAUAACGUAGCGAAAGUUACGCUAAUACCGCAUAUUCUGUGAGCAGGAAAGCAGGGGAUCGCAAGACCUUGCGCUGAUUGAGCGGCCGAUAUCAGAUUAGCUAGUUGGUGAGGUAAAGGCUCACCAAGGCGACGAUCUGUAGCGGGUCUGAGAGGAUGAUCCGCCACACUGGAACUGAGACACGGUCCAGACUCCUACGGGAGGCAGCAGUGGGGAAUUUUGGACAAUGGGGGCAACCCUGAUCCAGCCAUGCCGCGUGAGUGAAGAAGGCCUUCGGGUUGUAAAGCUCUUUCGGCCGGGAAGAAAUCGCACGGGCUAAUACCCUGUGUGGAUGACGGUACCGGAAUAAGAAGCACCGGCUAACUACGUGCCAGCAGCCGCGGUAAUACGUAGGGUGCGAGCGUUAAUCGGAAUUACUGGGCGUAAAGCGUGCGCAGGCGGUUUAGUAAGACAGGCGUGAAAUCCCCGGGCUCAACCUGGGAACUGCGCUUGUGACUGCUAAGCUAGAGUACGGCAGAGGGGGGUGGAAUUCCACGUGUAGCAGUGAAAUGCGUAGAGAUGUGGAGGAACACCGAUGGCGAAGGCAGCCCCCUGGGCCGAUACUGACGCUCAUGCACGAAAGCGUGGGUAGCAAACAGGAUUAGAUACCCUGGUAGUCCACGCCCUAAACGAUGUCAACUAGGUGUUGGGUGGGUAAAACCAUUUAG